CCUACGGGUGGCAGCAGUGAGGAAUAUUGGUCAAUGGGCGAGAGCCUGAACCAGCCAAGUCGCGUGAGGGAAGACGGUCCUAUGGAUUGUAAACCUCUUUUGCCGGGGAGCAAAAAGCGGUACGUGUACCGCAUCGAGAGUACCCGGAGAAAAAGCAUCGGCUAACUCCGUGCCAGCAGCCGCGGUAAUACGGAGGAUGCGAGCGUUAUCCGGAUUUAUUGGGUUUAAAGGGAGCGCAGGCGGCGAGUUAAGUCAGCGGUAAAAUUUCGGGGCUCAACCCCGACAAGCCGUUGAAACUGGUUGGCUAGAGUGGGCGAGAAGUGUGCGGAAUGCGUGGUGUAGCGGUGAAAUGCAUAGAUAUCACGCAGAACUCCGAUUGCGAAGGCAGCAUACCGGCGCCCAACUGACGCUCAGGCACGAAAGCGUGGGUAUCGAACAGGAUUAGAUACCCGGGUAGUC
Molecule: ribosomal RNA, 459 nt
Filed under: uncultured bacterium
Lineage: Bacteria
Description: partial 16S ribosomal RNA
Rfam family: Bacterial small subunit ribosomal RNA
Source: RNAcentral